UCCAAAGUAAGCAUGUCUUCCAAGUGGCA
Molecule: non-coding RNA, 29 nt
Filed under: Mus musculus (house mouse)
Lineage: Eukaryota; Metazoa; Chordata; Mammalia; Rodentia; Muridae
Source: RNAcentral